GGAGAGCAGGAGCACAGAGUGGUGGGGAAGUGAUUAUAGGAUCUUACAGGAGCAUUGUUACAUCUUCCCUAUGACCUCAGAGCAGCUCAUUGCCUCCUGGCCAACAGCUCCCAGCUGCAGCCAGGAUCCUCUGCCCUGCUUUAGGGAUUGUUUCCCAGGCAUGACAUGGCAUGCCGUGCCAGGUGUCAGAGCCCCCCGAAGUCGAGCUGCAAACACACGUGGAUGGUGCCAUCUGCAAAGCAGUAAUUAACAGAGCCACGCCUCACAUCGCAGCCCUGAUAAGGGAUAAUUAAUGCUUUGGGUCCUGGCA
Phasianus colchicus (ring-necked pheasant) is the source of this 310-nucleotide long non-coding RNA. RefSeq lists it as uncharacterized. Lineage: Eukaryota; Metazoa; Chordata; Aves; Galliformes; Phasianidae. The record is from RefSeq and is a predicted model, not a curated record.